AGCGCCUAGCGAGCAGACAGCGUGCUGCGCAGAUGUACGCACACAAGCUCCUGGCAAGUGGAGAGUGCGCGCAUCGGCGUUGACGCAAGGUGGCGUGACAAGACUCGUAGUGCAAGCAGCAGCCACAGCCAACACCCCCGAGAUUGCUUUUCAGGCCUACGAGCGAGGGGCAUUUCACGUCACUUUCCGCCGGCCAACAGUUAGCAGUGCAAGAGCUCAGCAGCAAGGCAGCAUUUCAACGUUGGUUGGAAAUUAUGCGGCAGGGAAAACAAGGUGCAGGCAUCUUGAACAUCUGAAACACGAGGGCGUGCGGAGCAAAUGGACUGGUGUCGUCAUUCCUCUGACCAAAUUUGUGCCCACGACGUGUACGAAGCGCCUUACGCACCAAGUUUGUAAAUGGAGGCGUCGCAAUAAAAACACAACGGCGAUGGCAGGGCUCACCCGCACUAGCGCGAUGACGAGACACAGCAGAAGAAACUGAUGCAAACGGAGCGAUGAUUUGCAAGCACAGGUGCGCGCAUACCUGGUCGGCGGCUCUGAAGCUCCUCCAGAAGGUGGCGAUGACGCCGCAGCACUCUUCCAGCUGGAAGCUGGCCGGAUCCUCGCAGAAGAAGGCGGCGAGGUCGUUUCGCGCCUGCUCCA
Long non-coding RNA from Dermacentor albipictus, 642 nucleotides. RefSeq lists it as uncharacterized. The record is from RefSeq and is a predicted model, not a curated record. NCBI's taxonomy places the organism in Eukaryota, Metazoa, Arthropoda, Arachnida, Ixodida, Ixodidae.